RNAcentral lists this long non-coding RNA (1119 nucleotides) under Equus caballus (horse). Its description in RNAcentral is "lncRNA (ENSECAG00000052534.1)". Lineage: Eukaryota; Metazoa; Chordata; Mammalia; Perissodactyla; Equidae. The record is from RNAcentral.
AGAAUACAUUCCCCAGGAAAGACCGCGUAUGUUGCUGGAAUAAUCAACUUUGUCAUUACAGUCUCACUCGGUCCUGUCAGAACUCAAUCUUGAACCUACGUCUGGGUUAAUCUGCGUGUUCCAGUUCCUUUUCUGUUUCAAAAACCCCAAAGCAAUAGCCAUCUUAACGUUGAUAUUUCUCACGUCUAGCCCUGCCCUCUCCCUGUCGUGCGAGGAGCUCAGGGAGACCCGGUGGGAGGGGAGCCGGGGAGAGGGGCGGGGAGGUCGGAGCAGGACCUCCAGAGUGGACACCGGGAGGAAACCUGGAGAAGGCAUUCGUGCCCCUUAUUUCAAGGAAGAAAGGAAAAUGCAACGUGAUGCAAAGAGGAGGAAAGGAGCAGGAGCGAGCGUGUGGGCAGCGCUGGGCGCGGAGCCCCAGGGGAAGGCGGCGCCGGGGGCGCAGGGUGCCGCGGCUCGCGCUCCCGGAGCGGCGGAAUCAAGAUGGGGAGAGACGCCAAGGUGCAGAAGAGAAGGCAGGAGCUGAAGCAGCGAGCUUGGACCGUUGAGGCCAACUGGGUAACGCUCAGCAGAGAACCUGGUAGAAGGAGUCUGCCUCAAACACCCGUAGAGCAUCGUACCUGCCUUGAGCCACCUGCCUAAGAUUUGACCUGAGAGAGAAGUGACCCUCCACCUGCUGAAGCCACUGUCCGGGGCAUCUGCUCUCACUUGCAGCUGAACCUCACCCUCGUGACUACAUGAUGACGCUUCCACUUGAAAUAUACAUACUUUUUUUUUGGUGAGGAAGAUUGGCCCUGAGCUAACAUCUGUGCCAAUCUUCCUCUACUUCAUAUGUGGGAUGCCCCAACAGCAUGGCUGAUGAGUAGAGUCGGUCUAAACUCAGGAUUGGAAACUGUGAACCCAGGCCGCCAAAGCGGAGUGCACAGAACUUUAACCACUUGGCCACGGGGCCGGCCCGGCUGCUUUUUUUUAUUGCUAAGGACAGGGUGAUGCACUGGUUAUCAAAAUAAUUUGGUUAUAGGUAACAAAAACAGGGAAGUAUUCAGGUCUUAAUUUUCCUUCAGAAGACUCCCGUGUACACAUCAAAAUAUUAAAUAAACUUUUAUGCUUUUCUCCUGUUAA